CUACGGGUUGCUCCAGUGAGGAAUUUUGCGCAAUGGGGGUAACCCUGACGCAGCAACGCCGCGUGAGUGAUGAAGGCUUUCGGGUCGUAAAGCUCUGCCAAGUGGGAAGAAUAUACGAAAUGCUAAUACCAUUUUGUACUGACGGUACCACUGAAGGAAGCACCGGCUAACUCCGUGCCAGCAGCCGCGGUAAUACGGGGGGUGCAAGCGUUAUUCGGAAUUAUUGGGCGUAAAGAGCACGUAGGCGGCCGCUUAAGUCAGAUGUGAAAGCCCGGGGCUCAACCCCGGAAGUGCAUUUGAAACUAAGUGGCUUGAGUAUGGGAGAGGGAAGUGGAAUUCCUGGUGUAGAGGUGAAAUUCGUAGAUAUCAGGAGGAACACCGGUGGCGAAGGCGACUUCCUGGACCAAUACUGACGCUGAGGUGCGAAGGCGUGGGGAGCAAACAGGAUUAGAUACCCCCGUAGUC
This 465-nucleotide ribosomal RNA is filed under the name uncultured bacterium. RNAcentral describes it as "partial 16S ribosomal RNA". It matches the Rfam family "Bacterial small subunit ribosomal RNA", at positions 339 to 795 of the family's 1533-position model. The record is from RNAcentral.